UACGUAGGUCCCGAGCGUUGUCCGGAUUUAUUGGGCGUAAAGCGAGCGCAGGUGGUUUAUUAAGUCUGGUGUAAAAGGCAGUGGCUCAACCAUUGUAUGCAUUGGAAACUGGUAGACUUAAGUGCAAGAGAGGAGAGUGGAAUUCCAUGUGUAGCGGUGAAAUGCGUAGAUAUAUGGAGGAACACCGGUGGCGAAAGCGGCUCUCUGGCCUGUAACUGACACUGAGGCUCGAAAGCGUGGGGAGCAAACAGG
Molecule: ribosomal RNA, 252 nt
Filed under: uncultured bacterium
Lineage: Bacteria
Description: partial 16S ribosomal RNA
Rfam family: Bacterial small subunit ribosomal RNA
Source: RNAcentral